UGGGCUAUAGCCAAGCGGUAAGGCAACGGUUUUUGGUACCGUCGUGCGCUGGUUCGAAUCCAGCUAGCCCAA
This 72-nucleotide transfer RNA is filed under the name Limosilactobacillus reuteri. RNAcentral describes it as "tRNA-Gln". It matches the Rfam family "tRNA". From Rfam's summary of the family: Transfer RNA (tRNA) molecules are approximately 80 nucleotides in length. Their secondary structure includes four short double-helical elements and three loops (D, anti-codon, and T loops). Lineage: Bacteria; Bacillati; Bacillota; Bacilli; Lactobacillales; Lactobacillaceae. The record is from RNAcentral.